CCUACGGGAGGCAGCAGUGGGGAAUAUUGGUCAAUGGGCGCAAGCCUGACCCAGCAACGCCGCGUGAAGGAAGACGGCUUUCGGGUUGGUAACUCUUUUUUACAGGGGAGCGUAGAAGACGGUACCUGUCGAAUAAGCCACUGCUAACUACGUGCAAGCAGCCGCGGUAAUACGUAGGUGGCACGGUUUGUCCGGAUUUACUGGGUGUAAAGGGCGUGUAGCCGGGUUGACAAGUCAGAUGUGAAAUCCUGCGGCUUAACCGCAGAACUGCAUGUGAAACUGUUGAUCUUGAGUACUGGAGAGGCAGACGGAAUGCGUAGUGUAGCGGUGAAAUGCGUAGAUAUUAGGCAGAACACCAGUGGCGAAGGCAGUCUGCUGGACAGCAACUGACGGUGAGGCGCGAAAGCGUGGGGAGCGAACAGGAUUAGAUACCCUAGUAGUC
This 442-nucleotide ribosomal RNA is filed under the name uncultured bacterium. Its description in RNAcentral is "partial 16S ribosomal RNA". It matches the Rfam family "Bacterial small subunit ribosomal RNA", at positions 338 to 795 of the family's 1533-position model. The record is from RNAcentral.